Molecule: ribosomal RNA, 254 nt
Filed under: uncultured bacterium
Lineage: Bacteria
Description: partial 16S ribosomal RNA
Rfam family: Bacterial small subunit ribosomal RNA
Source: RNAcentral
GACGAACCGUGCGAACGUUAUUCGGAAUCACUGGGCUUAAAGCGCGUGUAGGCGGAUGGGGACGUCGGUCGCUGAAAGCCCCCGGCUCAACCGGGGAACGGGCGCCGAAACGCCCCGUCUGGAGGGACGUAGGGGGACCUGGAACUUCCGGUGGAGCGGUGAAAUGCGUUGAGAUCGGAAGGAACGCCCGUGGCGAAAGCGACUAUCUGGGCCAACACUGACACUGAGGCACGAAAGCGUGGGGAGCAAACAGG